This 1973-nucleotide ribosomal RNA is filed under the name Candidatus Wildermuthbacteria bacterium RIFCSPLOWO2_01_FULL_48_35. RNAcentral's name for it is "bacterial SSU rRNA". It matches the Rfam family "Bacterial small subunit ribosomal RNA". The record is from RNAcentral. Lineage: Bacteria; Candidatus Wildermuthiibacteriota.
CUUAGAGAGUUUGAUCCUAGCUCAGGAUGAACGCUGGCGGCGUGGAUAAGGCAUGCAAGUCGUGCGGUUCUGUUUCCGCAAGGGAACAGAAUAGCGGCGAACGAGUUAGUAACACGUAGGUACUUCCCCCGGAGACGGGCAUAAUUCCGCGAAAGCGGAACUAAUUCCCGAUAGUCCUCGUAAGAGUAAAGGAGCAAUCCGCUCCGGGAAAGGCCUGCGGCCUAUCAGCUAGUUGGUGAGGUAACGGCUCACCAAGGCUAUGACGGGUAGGGGGCGUGAGAGCGCGUUCCCCAACGAUGGGACUGAGAUACGGCCCAUACUCCUACGGGAGGCAGCAGUCGAGAAUAUUGGUCAAUGGGCGAAAGCCUGAACCAGCGACGCCGCGUGCGGGAGGACGCCCUUCGGGGUGUAAACCGCUUUUGCCGUCGAACAAGCCGCAAGGCUGAGCGUAGGCGGCGAAUAAGGGGGUGCUAACUCUGUGCCAGCAGCCGCGGUAAUACAGAGCCCCCAAGCGUUAUCCGGAUUUAUUGGGCGUAAAGGGUCCGUAGGCGGUUAGGCAAGUCUUAGGUUAAAUACCUGAAGCUCAACUUCGGGGGUGCCUGGGAUACUACUUAACUAGAAGGCGUUAGAGGCUGACGGAACGGUCGGUGGAGGGGUGAAAUCCGUUGAUAUCGACCGGAACACCAAAGGCGAAGGCAGUCAGCUGGGACGACCUUGACGCUGAGGGACGAAAGCGUGGGGAUCAAAAAGGAUUGACAAAAUACCGCGCAAGGGCGGUUUAGUCCCCAUAUGCAGAAACGUAUAUGGUUAAAAAACUUGGCUAUAUGCGGGAAACCCCAAAUUCUGAUAAAAAAAUCAGGACGGGUAAUCCGCAGGAAACCGUGUGUGUUGGGAAGUGGAUGGAGAACGGCGUCUGUACAGGCUGGCGACAGCGCAUUGUUGGUCUCGCUGAGGCGGGACGAGCACCGGACUAUUGCGCCGGUGAACGACAGUGCGGCCGAAUCCGAGCCGCAAGAAUCGCCGCCAUUCACAAAGGGCGAUCCUUCCUAGGAGGAUCGCCCCCACUUCCCAAUACACAACGGGAUCCUCAGAGACUGUACGCCAAGUCCCGCUAAAAGCGGGAAUGAUAUAGUCCGAACUGCAUAGUAAUAUGCAGAACGCAACAGAAAUGAUUGCGUCCGUAACAAGUUUGAAAAUUGGAAAUUGAUAAUUGAAAAUUCCAAUUUUGUUACGUGUAACAAAAUUGUAGAUACCCUUGUAGUCCACGCCCUAAACGAUGGACACUAGCUAUAUGAAGUGUCGACCCUUCAUGUGGCGAAGCUAACGCGUUAAGUGUCCCGCCUGGGAAGUACGGCCGCAAGGCUAAAACUCAAAGGAAUAGACGGGGACUCACACAAGCGGUGGACCAUGUGGCUUAAUUCGACAACAAGCGAAGAACCUUACCAGGGCUUGAAAUCCGCAUGAUCGUUCCGUGAAAGCGGGACUUCCUCACAAGGCAGGCGGACAGGUGCUGCAUGGCUGUCGUCAGCAUGUAUCUUGAGACGCUCCCUUAAAUGGGGGAACAUGCGCAACCCCUAUCACGCGUUUUAAGUGUCGCGUGAAACUGCCCGGGAUAACUGGGAGGAAGGCGGGGAUGACGCCAAGUCAGCAUGGCCCUCUGACGCCCUGGGCUGCACACGUGGUACAAUGGAGCCGACAAUGCGUUUGCCAAGCCGCAAGGCGGAGCUAACCGCACCAAACGGUUCCCCAGUUCGGAUUGAGGUCUGAAACCCGACCUCAUGAAGCCGGAAUCGCUAGUAAUCGCGAAUCAGCCAUGUCGCGAUGAAUACGUUCCUGAGUCUUGUACUCACCGCCCGUCACGCCAAGCGAGCUGAGAGUACCCGAAACCCCCGAUUUAUCGGGGUCUAAGGUAAGUUCAGUGAGAGAGGCGAAGUCGUAACAAGGCACGCGUAGCGGAAGCUGUGCGUGGAACA